RNAcentral lists this ribosomal RNA (251 nucleotides) under uncultured bacterium. Its description in RNAcentral is "partial 16S ribosomal RNA". It matches the Rfam family "Bacterial small subunit ribosomal RNA", at positions 15 to 236 of the family's 1533-position model. The record is from RNAcentral.
GAUCCUGGCUCAGGACGAACGCUGGCGGCGUGCUUAACACAUGCAAGUCGAACGAGGAGGACAAGAGAAGCUUGCUUCUUUUGGAAUCGAGUGGCAAACGGGUGAGUAACACGUAAACAACCUGCCUUCAGGAUGGGGACAACAGUACGGAAAACGACUGCUAAUACCGAAUACGCUUGGGAGACCGCAUGAUCUACCAAGAAAGGGUGGCCCUCUACCGUGUAAGCUAUCGCCUGAAGAGGGGUUUGCGU